Molecule: ribosomal RNA, 207 nt
Filed under: uncultured bacterium
Lineage: Bacteria
Description: partial 16S ribosomal RNA
Rfam family: Bacterial small subunit ribosomal RNA
Source: RNAcentral
UUCGUAGGCGGUUUGUCGCGUCGUUUGUGAAAACCCGGGGCUCAACUUCGGGCUUGCAGGCGAUACGGGCAGACUUGAGUGUUUCAGGGGAGACUGGAAUUCCUGGUGUAGCGGUGAAAUGCGCAGAUAUCAGGAGGAACACCGGUAGCGAAGGCGGGUCUCUGGGAAACAACUGACGCUGAGGAACGAAAGCGUGGGUAGCAAACA